CGAAAAGCGAUGAAGAGGAGUAGUAGGUAAGUUGUUCGUCUCAGAGAGCCGGCGGCCGCUGCAAGCCGGUACGAAGAACUGCUGAACUCGCCUUGGAGCUGCGGGAAUGAAACUUAAAGGUUAGUUUCCGUCGUGAGCCUGCGUAAAAGGAAAUGAAGGGUUUUGCAGCAGAAUUGCAAAAUCGAAUCAGGGUGGUACCGCGAAGCAUUCGAGCUCUCGCCCCUGUA
RNAcentral lists this non-coding RNA (227 nucleotides) under Malonomonas rubra. Its description in RNAcentral is "T-box sequence". It matches the Rfam family "T-box leader". From Rfam's summary of the family: Uncharged tRNA acts as the effector for transcription antitermination of genes in the T-box leader family. T-boxes are found upstream of many aminoacyl-tRNA synthetase genes and some amino acid biosynthetic genes usually in Gram-positive bacteria. The record is from RNAcentral. Lineage: Bacteria; Pseudomonadati; Thermodesulfobacteriota; Desulfuromonadia; Desulfuromonadales; Geopsychrobacteraceae.